RNAcentral lists this small RNA (127 nucleotides) under Marmota monax (woodchuck). The record is from RNAcentral. Lineage: Eukaryota; Metazoa; Chordata; Mammalia; Rodentia; Sciuridae.
GCCAGAUGUGGUGACGCAUGCCUGAAAUCCCAGCAGCUCAGGAGGCUGAGGCAGGAGGAUCACAAGUUCAAAGCCAGCCUCAGCAACAGUGAGGCCCUAAGCACUUUUCAGCGAGACCCUGUCUCUA